AAAUUGAAGAGUUUGAUCAUGGCUCAGAUUGAACGCUGGCGGCAGGCCUAACACAUGCAAGUCGAACGGUAACAGGAAGAAGCUUGCUUCUUUGCUGACGAGUGGCGGACGGGUGAGUAAUGUCUGGGAAACUGCCUGAUGGAGGGGGAUAACUACUGGAAACGGUAGCUAAUACCGCAUAACGUCGCAAGACCAAAGAGGGGGACCUUCGGGCCUCUUGCCAUCGGAUGUGCCCAGAUGGGAUUAGCUAGUAGGUGGGGUAACGGCUCACCUAGGCGACGAUCCCUAGCUGGUCUGAGAGGAUGACCAGCCACACUGGAACUGAGACACGGUCCAGACUCCUACGGGAGGCAGCAGUGGGGAAUAUUGCACAAUGGGCGCAAGCCUGAUGCAGCCAUGCCGCGUGUAUGAAGAAGGCCUUCGGGUUGUAAAGUACUUUCAGCGGGGAGGAAGGGAGUAAAGUUAAUACCUUUGCUCAUUGACGUUACCCGCAGAAGAAGCACCGGCUAACUCCGUGCCAGCAGCCGCGGUAAUACGGAGGGUGCAAGCGUUAAUCGGAAUUACUGGGCGUAAAGCGCACGCAGGCGGUUUGUUAAGUCAGAUGUGAAAUCCCCGGGCUCAACCUGGGAACUGCAUCUGAUACUGGCAAGCUUGAGUCUCGUAGAGGGGGGUAGAAUUCCAGGUGUAGCGGUGAAAUGCGUAGAGAUCUGGAGGA
RNAcentral lists this ribosomal RNA (715 nucleotides) under Escherichia coli. Its description in RNAcentral is "bacterial SSU rRNA". It matches the Rfam family "Bacterial small subunit ribosomal RNA", at positions 1 to 705 of the family's 1533-position model. The record is from RNAcentral. Lineage: Bacteria; Pseudomonadati; Pseudomonadota; Gammaproteobacteria; Enterobacterales; Enterobacteriaceae.